This 399-nucleotide ribosomal RNA is filed under the name uncultured bacterium. Its description in RNAcentral is "bacterial SSU rRNA". It matches the Rfam family "Bacterial small subunit ribosomal RNA", at positions 509 to 906 of the family's 1533-position model. The record is from RNAcentral.
CAGCAGCCGCGGUAAUACGUAGGGAGCAAGCGUUGUCCGGAAUCAUUGGGCGUAAAGCGCGCGUAGGUGGCCACAUAAGUCCGCUGUGAAAGUCAAAGGCUCAACCUUUGAAAGCCGGUGGAUACUGUGUGGCUAGAGUACGGAAGAGGCGAGUGGAAUUCCUGGUGUAGCGGUGGAAUGCGCAGAUAUCAGGAGGAACACCAAUAGCGAAGGCAGCUCGCUGGGACGUUACUGACACUGAGGCGCGAAAGCGUGGGGAGCGAACAGGAUUAGAUACCCUGGUAGUCCACGCCGUAAACGAUGGGUACUAGGUGUGGGAGGUGUCGACUCCUCCCGUGCCGUCGCUAACGCACUAAGUACCCCGCCUGGGGAGUACGGCCGCAAGGCUAAAACUCAAAG